UGAGGUUCUAACAAGCUACCUCUGACUCGCACUCUACAUCACUAACCUCCCUAACCUAGUCGAUGUCAUCAAACAGAGGUAAUUGAAGUGAUGCCUUCAACUCGAUCAAGACUCUAUGUUGAGGCAAACCCUCCAUGGUCAAGAUGAGGUGCUACGAUCUACUGCAGCUUAUUUCUUGAAGUUAUUAGCCUUUCAACUCCCAAAGGUAUCUUCUUAUCUUUGACUCUUCCAAGAGAUCUUUCGUAGAAAAUAUUAUGAGAUAUGAUUGAUGUAAUAUUUAUGUUGAACUUGCCUCUUAACCAACUUGCCAGUCUAGUUUUCAGAUGUCAGACCUAGACUAUAGGCAGUCACUUUUAAAAAUCAUUAAAUGCUCUUUGAAACUAGGAUUGUAGAAGUGACAUCUAGGAUUGACUCGUCACAUGUUAAGAUGAGAACAAAAGUUUUCAUCUAACAAAUGUAAAAUCUCAUAUUUAGUAUCAUUUGAAGGUAAUGGAACUUUAUACUCUCGAUAGUAAUCUUGCUUAUUUUUCUUGCUUCCUCUCUACAACUUUGUGCUCACACACAUUUGUGUGACUCCUGACUUCCAUUUAUUCCACACUCAAUAUUCUCCUCUACAAGUUGACUAACUUGAACUCAGAGCACCUGCGACCUUCUUUCCUAUCAUUUAAGAAGGCCAUAUGCUUCUAACAGUUUGUUCAAGUGUGUUGAAGCCGUAAUUAACUAUAUUUACAUAUUAUAUUUUUAUGUAAAAUCAUACACAUGUAAAAGAAUUCAAUUUUAAUAAUUCAAUUAUGAUUGCAUAAGUUAUAAAAUUAUCUCACGAUCUCUUAUCAUAACUCAUGUUACUUAUUGCACGAACUCAAUAAUAUUCUUAAAUUAUGUAAUUAGUGAUCAAGCAAUUGAAUGCCAAUUAAACACAUAAUAAGCAAUUAACUCAAAAUAAAAUUGGCAUGAAAUAUAUUAAUUUAAGCAAACAUUAACCUAAGCUUGGUAGUUCAUCCUAACAAUAAGAAAUUUAGUCAAUCAUAAUUUUGGAAUUAAAUGACAAAAGGAUGAAAAAUAUCAAUAGGUUCAAUAAAAUGGAUAAAGAAACUAAUAGAAGCAAUUUUUGUUCUUUGAACUGGUCACAAAUAGUCAUAUUAAGAUAGAUUUGGUUACAGUGGGUCGUAGAUAACACAUGCCGAUCACAAACAACAAUAGCUUACAUAGACAUAGACAUGAUCAGAAACAAUAAUAUCUUACACAUAUCUAGUCACAAAUAAUCACCUUUAAACAUAACUUGGUCACAUGCAACACAAAGCACACAAUCAAUAGGUCACAAUUGAGCUAAUAUUUUAUGAAGUACAGAAACCUUAUCAGAAAUUAUGAAUUGUGAAACACAAAAACUUGUUGAACAUAAGAAUGCAUCAAAUUAAAUGAUUUAUCAUCGAAUUUUUUUUUAAUGACCAGAUUAUAAGAACAUUGUUAGAGUUUUGAUAUGUGAAGAAUACUAUAGAAGACUUGAAGGUUGGGAGCAUCUAAAUUGUGAAUUAAAGGAUUAAAGUUCGUGAAUUGAAAAUUAGAAGUUCGCGAAUCAGAUUCAAUCAAGAAAUCAAUUAUUGAUUUAGUAUAACGGUAAAUUUAUGGUUUUGUUUUGUUUUGUUAUAAUCACCUUGGUGAAUGUCCCAUAGAAAUCCUAAUUUGUUAAUUAAAGAUUUAUUUUCUUUCGUGGCAAUUUGUGUUAGAAUUAUUCUUAAGACGUGUCGUUCAAUUUUAAAAGGUCAACUUUAUUAAGGAAAGUAACUCAAAUCCUUGUAUUAUAUUUUCAUUUGAUGUGGAAUUUGUCUCUUAACAUGCCCGCAAACCAAAUUCAUAUUGUGUUGGUGUUUUUGUUGAAAAGGGAGUUAAAGAAGUCAAA
This 1897-nucleotide long non-coding RNA is filed under the name Olea europaea (common olive). Its description in RNAcentral is "long non-coding RNA (OEUR_LNC010000)". The record is from RNAcentral. Lineage: Eukaryota; Viridiplantae; Streptophyta; Magnoliopsida; Lamiales; Oleaceae.